GACGAACGCUGGCGGCGUGCCUAAUACAUGCAAGUAGAACGCAGUUGCGAACGGGUGAGUAACGCGUAGGUAACUGCCUCAUAGCGGGGGAUAACUAUUGGAAACGAUAGCUAAUACCGCAUACUGUGAGAUGGAGCUGCGUUGUAUUAGCGAGUUGGUGAGGUAAAGGCUCACCAAGGCGACCAUACAUAGCCGAUCUGGGAGGGUGAUAGGCCACAUGGGGAAUUAGACGCGGCCCAGACUCCUACGGGAAGCAGUAGUAGGGAAACUUCGGAAAUGGACGGAAGUCUGAACGCACAACGCCGCGUGAGUGAAGAAGGUUUUCUGAGUGUAAAGCUAUUUUGUUAGAGAAGCGGUAUCUAACCAAAAAGGAACGGCUAACUACGUGCCAGCAGCCGCGUUAAUUC
RNAcentral lists this ribosomal RNA (407 nucleotides) under uncultured bacterium. RNAcentral describes it as "partial 16S ribosomal RNA". It matches the Rfam family "Bacterial small subunit ribosomal RNA", at positions 28 to 526 of the family's 1533-position model. The record is from RNAcentral.